Molecule: RNA transcript, 1540 nt
Organism: Ictalurus furcatus (blue catfish)
Lineage: Eukaryota; Metazoa; Chordata; Actinopteri; Siluriformes; Ictaluridae
Gene: golt1a
Gene name: golgi transport 1A
Exons: 5
Source: RefSeq, a predicted model, not a curated record
CUGACAUCAGAGUUCAAAGGUCAGACUGACAUGAGAGACACAUGUAAGGGGCAAUGAGAAGCUGAAGAAGUGAGCAAAUAAAUCAAGAAAGUGAAGAGUGGAAAGCAUCAUGGUUGCGAUCUCAGAGUUUCAGAAGAUUGGUGUGGGUUUGUCAGGCUUCGGCAUUUUCUUCCUUGUGUUUGGAGUGUUGCUGUACUUUGACUCUGUCUUGUUGGCAUUUGGUAACAUCUUGUUCCUAACUGGUCUGGCCUUCAUCAUUGGCCUGAGGAGAACGGCUCACUUCUUUUUCCAGAGGCAAAAGCUUAGAGCCUCCUCCUUUUUCCUGGGUGGUGUGGCUUUAGUGGUGCUCCGAUGGCCACGCAUAGGCAUGCUCGUGGAGAGUUAUGGCUUUGUGCUUCUGUUUAAGAAUCCUAUCACGAAGCCCCUGAAGAUAAAUAGAAAUGACAGCACUAUCAGCAUGGUGUGCUGGCUCUGACAAUUCCUCAGCCUCAGCUACAUCACUCGAGUUCAUAAUUGCUGUCAACUAGACAUGUGCGCAGGACUUUUUAAUUAAUCCCACUCACUCUGUUAUUAUUUUUGUUUGUACCUGCCUAUGAUAUUUUCUAAUAAAUUUAGUUAGGUUGUUAUUACCAAAAUAUAACCAAAUGAGUAAUUUAAGCCUAAUCUAAACACAACCCUGACCAGGCAUGAAUGUUGAAUGAUACUAAGGAUGAAUCAGUGAAUGCUGUAUGUGGUCUUUGUUUGUCAAGUGAAGUCCUGCGAGUUUAUAUCUAACCGUUCACGUGCGCUCACAUGAAAGUGAAAACCUCCCCAGCCCAUGUAGCACGUUUUGUUGUGUUUCAUGGGAUCCCAGUCCCAGUACAAACUCUAGUCUCAAUCACAUGCUCUGUGAACCUUUCUGACAAACUUUCUAAUGAAAUAAAUUAAAAACGUAUCUGCAUUUGUAUCCAUUUAGAACACAUUCAGUUGCAUGCCUAGUCUAUAACAGCAGAGUAAACUGUUUUUUUUUUUACCCCAGUUAACUCUUUUUAGUAACCAUCUAUAAUCAUCAAUUAUAUGAUGUCAGCAAACGUUGUCAUGCUGAUGUCAGCUGACAUUUAUCAAUUUUGCUAAAGACAUGCCACCCGUACUCCCUUAUUGUAAAGAUAUAGACAGUUAUGAAUAAUAUUCUGUCAUUUUCCAGGUCGUUCUUCCCAAUGGCUUUUGGAUUUCUUGGAACAGUUUUGAAUAUGCCAUUCCUCACUACACUAUUUAAUUACUCAGGAAGCAGCUCCUCUAUGGUGUAAGAGUUCUCACGAAGAUGACGGCACAGUGAAGCACGUGAAUACCAAGAUACAAGUGUAGAUCAAGUACUGUGGUGUGUGAUGGAUUUUGGGGAACAGAAGACUAUAAAACAUAUCCAUGAAGCACACCAUGAACUCACUGAUCAGCCAAGUGUGAACUGCAUGUUGCUGUUUUUUUUGUCUGUAUGGAAUGUAUACUAUUUUAAGAAUAUUUUAAUUUGUGUAUUAUUUUGAAUAAACCCAGUGUUACUUUUAAA